RNAcentral lists this long non-coding RNA (1263 nucleotides) under Zea mays. RNAcentral describes it as "long non-coding RNA (ZMAY_LNC004571)". Lineage: Eukaryota; Viridiplantae; Streptophyta; Magnoliopsida; Poales; Poaceae. The record is from RNAcentral.
GUCAAUUUGAUAGCGACUACCGAGUCCUAAGUUAGGACCCAUGAGUACAGGAAGAUGGUCCAUCAUCAUUGCUGCAGAAUAAUUUCGUCAGUUAACUCCCAGUUGCAAUUUGCUACCAGCCACUAUAAAACAGAUGAACCACGACAGCAUAAAAAAACAAAUCAUCCCUCGAGUCAGAUAUGAAAACCGAUUUAAAAUACACGACAACGUCGUGGCCCAUGGGCAUCGCGUCUAGGUAUGGCGCUAGAGUGGUGAUGGCAGGGUGGCGGCGGGGUCGGUGUAUGUCGCGGACAACAGGGUGAGAACUUCUAGGCUCAUGUCAUAACAAUAUAAUCGUUAUCCAUAAGGCAAACCUGAAAGAGAGACAAGUUGGUUAGGGGUGUGGUAAGUCCAAAACAGGUGCUGAGUUCAUAGCUGGUUCCACAAGCGUGCACACAAGUAAUCUUAUAACAUUUAGGGUCUGACACAAGUAGGACAAAAGAAAAUCCUUGCAUUUAAUACAAACAAUAUUUCAAAUUUGGAGGGAUAAAAAUAUAGACCUAGAAGCCUACCAUUAGGGAACAAGGGCAUACAUGUGCUUCGGUCAGAACUAUAUUACACCAGUUGCAACAGAUAUGCAUGUUUGGAAGUAGUAGAUCUGUUUAGACUUGAAACUUUGAUCAAAUCUGUUUAUACUUGAAACUUUGAUCAAGUCAAAGUGAAACUGCACUGUACACAAGAAACAUAAUUGUAUUAAUUUGUUAAACCAUUAAUUGAAAAUGCGUAGAAAAAUAGCAAGCAUUACUUCAUAGCACAGAACUGUAGAUCACUAUAAGAAGAAGAACAUGCAAUAGAACAAAGCAUUUUGAAAAUAAAACACGAUUUAAAGAUCUCAUGCAGUCCAUUCUUCAUCAGUGACAUAUUUCUAUCUAGCUGUUAGAAGUAUGACUCAUGAAUUCAAGGGCCACAGUUGGAACAAAUUUAUGGUUGUAAUAGCUUUCCAUCUAUCGAGGAUAUUAUAAUCGAUAGAGAUGACAAUUCAGGCUAUCAGAUGAUAUAAUAAAAAGGCAAAAUAAAUUAGCAAGUAUUAUAAGGAAAAGGAACUAUUUAUUUAUAUUCCUAACAAACCAUCAUGCAUCCAAGCUCAAGUAAUCUCCUUCUCACUGAAAAGCUAGUCCCAGGAGGAGAUCUGCGCCGCGACACAGGAGGGGGUCGCGCGGACGGGCGGGGGAGGAGGGUGGGGAUCCUCGGCAGGCAGAACUGUGCACCAACUCUUGUGGACGC